Small nucleolar RNA from Acomys russatus (golden spiny mouse), 132 nucleotides. RefSeq annotates it as small nucleolar RNA SNORA17. The transcript has a single exon. Lineage: Eukaryota; Metazoa; Chordata; Mammalia; Rodentia; Muridae. The record is from RefSeq and is a predicted model, not a curated record.
CCUGCCCCUAGCGCUAUUGCACGUGUGGCUGCAGUGUCACGUCUGCAUCAGUAGGUGGCAGAGAGGAGAGAGGUCAUGUCUACUCACGGUGUUAGGACCUGGGUACAUCCAAGUGAUUAGUAGCCUGAUUAU